CAACACGUCAAAAGUUGAUUUCCUUAGAAAACUAGAGCUUUUACCAGUUCCACUUAGGAAAAAACAAGACCAUCCAUCCAGAUUUGUUACACCGGAACGACAAACUCAUACACUAAAACAACGAAAAUGCAAGACUGACAAAAUUCUUUUUUAAGUUUAAGACUAUGAACUAAACUAUUCCUACAUUCUUCACGUGUUGAGAAACAUACCACAACAACGUGUUGUUUCCGGGAAAAAGGAACAUAUCUUAGGACACUAUCUAUAGCUCAUCCUUGAGUUCAGACUCUUCCGAUGCAGACUCCUCUUCUGCCUUGGUUUCAGUCUCAGGUUCUUCAGCUUCGUCUUCUUCUUCCUCAACUGUUGCAUCAGGGCUAAUGUUUAGACUGCUCUUAACUGAGCUGUAGAUGUGGGAGGCAAAAUCCUUUGGAUCACUCAGAUCGAAGCCACUCUCCAUUAAAGCUGUUUGGUAUAUAAGUUUUGCUGUCAGCUUCACACUCUCGUCCUCUGGGUCUGUUACUACUCUCUCCCGAAGUGCCUUGAUAAUUGGGUGCCUAGGAUUGAUUUCAAGCACCCUUUUACCACGCAUGUAUGCUUGCUUGCUUGCAUCUGACAGGGUUUGUGAAUGCAUUAUUUUCUCCAUAUAUGCACUCCAUCCGUAUUUUGAUGUUACCACAACACAAGGGGUGUCGGCCAAACGGCUGCUUAUCUUGACAUCUUCAACGUUGUCACUAGCAAGAGUAGUCUUCCACCACUUAGUUAGCCCCUUGAAUGACUCCUUGAGCUCUUUCGUUUUCGAAUCCUUAAGCUUUAAUCCCUCUUUAGACACAUUCUGGAACUUUUUGUCCUCAUAGUCCAUAAGAUAUUGCAUGAGGUAUUCAUCUACUGGAUCAGUGAAGAAUAUGACCUCAUAGUCUUUCUUAUUAAGUCUUUCUAGGAAGGGAGAUUUCUCCAACUGUUCUUUGCUGGCACCGGUGAUGUAGAAGAUAUCCUUUUGACUUGAUUUCAUUCUUGAGAUGUAUUGGUCAAGUGAAGUUAAUUUUCCAUCUGAUUUGGUGGUCUCAAAUCGAAGAAGUUUAGCUAAGCGGUUUCUGUUAGUUGCGUCUUCUAUAAUACCAAGCUUAAUCGACUUUCCAAAUUCAUUCCAGAAUUUGGCAUAUUGACCUUUCUUCUCAUUUUCAUCACUGGACUCUUCAACAUCUCUCUUCUCCUUGUCAUUAGUUUCAUCCGGAUCCUCUUCGGCAAGUUUGCGGAUCAUGUCAAGGGCCUUACGGAUGAGUUUUUUCUUAAUUGUCUUCAAACUGCUGUGCUGCUGAAGCAUUUCUCUUGAGACAUUGAGGGGUAAGGUGUCAGAAUCAACAAGACCCAUUAGGAAAUUCAAGUACUUGGGCAACAAUUCAUUAAAUUCAUCUGAGAUGAAAACCCGUCUGACAUAUAACUUCAAGUUGGAUUGCUUUGUGUUGUAAUAGCUCUCAUACAAAUCAUGAGGGGCUUUAGGAGGGAUGAAUAGAACAGCCUUGAACUCUACAUCACCUUCAGCAUUGAAGUGACUCCACGCCAUGGGUUUAUCUUCACUGAAGUCCUUUGCCAGAGAGUGAUAGAACUUAUUAUAUUCUUCAUCUGUAACUUCCUUUGGGCUUCGAAGCCAUAUAGCUUUCAUGUCAUUUAAAAGCUCCCACUCAUAGGUGGUUUCCUUCACUGUCUUAGUUUUAGGCUUCUUCUCAUCUUCGGCCUUCUCUGCAUCUUCUUCUUCUCCCUCUUCCUCAGAGGAAGUGCUUUCAGAUGUUUCCUCUUCAUCAACUGACUCGUCCUCAUCAGCAGGAACUUCCUUCUCAACCUCUUUGCUUGCCCAUAAAUUUAUAGGGAAGUUGAUGAAUUCAGAA
This 1880-nucleotide unclassified non-coding RNA is filed under the name Hevea brasiliensis (rubber tree). Lineage: Eukaryota; Viridiplantae; Streptophyta; Magnoliopsida; Malpighiales; Euphorbiaceae. The record is from RNAcentral.